GAUGUAGUGAUUUAUGGAAUCAGGUAUUGCACAACAUCUUUUGACUCUCACUUCUAAAUUAAGAAGUGCUGUACCAUGUUUUGCUUUAACAUGAAAGAAAUUGAUGACGACAUGUUUUGAUUGUUUUCAUAGACUUUUUGAAAUAACGAAUAAGUGGUAACAAAUCUUUCUAGAUCCUUUUCACGAUCAUCAAAAUGCUCUACAUGAUCUUUCACAAUCCAAAAU
RNAcentral lists this long non-coding RNA (225 nucleotides) under Mytilus galloprovincialis (Mediterranean mussel). The record is from RNAcentral. Lineage: Eukaryota; Metazoa; Mollusca; Bivalvia; Mytilida; Mytilidae.